CGGUCCCGUAGUGUAGCGGUUAUCACGUCGCCCUGUCACGGCGAAGAUCGCGGGUUCGAUUCCCGUCGGGACCGU
Molecule: transfer RNA, 75 nt
Filed under: Streptococcus pneumoniae
Lineage: Bacteria; Bacillati; Bacillota; Bacilli; Lactobacillales; Streptococcaceae
Description: tRNA-Asp(gtc)
Rfam family: tRNA
About the family: Transfer RNA (tRNA) molecules are approximately 80 nucleotides in length.
Source: RNAcentral